AUCUGCCGCAAUGGACGAAAGUCUGACGGAGACAACGCCGCGUGAGUGAUGACGGCCUUCGGGUUGUAAAGCUCUGUUAAUCGGGACGAAUGGUUCUUGUGCAAAUAGUGCGAGGAUUUGACGGUACCGGAAUAGAAAGCCACGGCUAACUACGUGCCAGCAGCCGCGGUAAUACGUAGGUGGCAAGCGUUGUCCGGAAUUAUUGGGCGUAAAGCGCGCGCAGGCGGAUUGGUCAGUCUGUCUUAAAAGUUCGGGGCUUAACCCCGUGAUGGGAUGGAAACUGCCAAUCUAGAGUAUCGGAGAGGAAAGUGGAAUUCCUAGUGUAGCGGUGAAAUGCGUAGAUAUUAGGAAGAACACCAGUGGCGAAGGCGACUUUCUGGACGAAAACUGACGCUGAGGCGCGAAAGCCAGGGGAGCGAACGGGAUUAGAUACCCCGGUAGUCCUGGCCGUAAACGAUGGCUACUAGGUGUAGGAGGUAUCGACUCCUUCUGUGCCGGAGUUAACGCAAUAAGUACCCCGCCUGGGGAGUACGACCGCAAGGUUGAAACUCAAAGGAAUUGACGGGGGCCCGCACAAGCGGUGGAGUAUGUGGUUUAAUUCGACGCAACGCGAAGAACCUUACCAGGUCCUGACAUUGAUGGACAGAACUAGAGAUAGUUGCUCUUCUUCGGAAGCGAGAA
RNAcentral lists this ribosomal RNA (681 nucleotides) under Veillonella atypica. RNAcentral's name for it is "bacterial SSU rRNA". It matches the Rfam family "Bacterial small subunit ribosomal RNA", at positions 361 to 1033 of the family's 1533-position model. Lineage: Bacteria; Bacillati; Bacillota; Negativicutes; Veillonellales; Veillonellaceae. The record is from RNAcentral.